CGCAAGCCUGACGGAGCAACGCCGCGUGAGGGAUGAAGGCCUUUGGGCUGUAAACCUCUUUUCUCAAGGAAGAAGACCUGACGGUACUUGAGGAAUAAGCCACGGCUAAUUCCGUGCCAGCAGCCGCGGUAAUACGGGAGUGGCAAGCGUUAUCCGGAAUUAUUGGGCGUAAAGCGUCCGCAGGCGGCCGUUUAAGUCUGUUGUUAAAUCGUGGAGCUCAACUCCAUCACGGCAAUGGAAACUGUUCGGCUUGAGUAUGGUAGGGGCAGAGGGAAUUUCCGGUGUAGCGGUGAAAUGCGUAGAUAUCGGGAAGAACACCAGUGGCAAAAGCGCUCUGCUGGGCCAUUACUGACGCUCAUGGACGAAAGCCAGGGGAGCGAAAGGGAUUAGAUACCCCUGUAGUCCUGGCCGUAAACGAUGAACACUAGAUGUUGGGGGAAUCGACCCCUCCGGUGUCGUAGCUAACGCGUUAAGUGUUCCGCCUGGGGAGUACGCACGCAAGUGUGAAACUCAAAGGAAUUGACGGGGGCCCGCACAAGCGGUGGAGUAUGUGGUUUAAUUCGAUGCAACGCGAAGAACCUUACCAAGGCUUGACAUCCUGCGAAUCUCCAAGAAAUUGGAGAGUGCCUUCGGGAACGCAGUGACAGGUGGUGCAUGGCUGUCGUCAGCUCGUGUCGUGAGAUGUUGGGUUAAGUCCCGCAACGAGCGCAACCCACGUUUUUAGUUGCCAGCAUUCAGUUGGGCACUCUAGAAAGACUGCCGGUGACAAACCGGAGGAAGGUGUGGACGACGUCAAGUCAUCAUGCCCCUUACGCCUUGGGCUACACACGUACUACAAUGCUGCGGACAAAGAGUAGCGAUCUUGCAAAAGUUAGCUAAUCUCGUAAACCGUGGCUCAGUUCAGAUCGUAGGCUGCAACUCGCCUACGUGAAGGAGGAAUCGCUAGUAAUCGCAGGUCAGCAUACUGCGGUGAAUACGUUCCCGGGCCUUGUACACACCGCCCGUCACACCAUGGAAGUUGGCCAUGCCCGAAGUCGUUACUCUAACCUUUUGGAAGAGGGCGCCGAAGGCAGGGCUAAUGACUGGGGUGAAGUCGUAACAAGGUAGCCGUAGCGGAAGCUGCGGCUGGAUCACCUCCUAA
This 1141-nucleotide ribosomal RNA is filed under the name Candidatus Synechococcus spongiarum. RNAcentral's name for it is "bacterial SSU rRNA". It matches the Rfam family "Bacterial small subunit ribosomal RNA", at positions 376 to 1533 of the family's 1533-position model. Lineage: Bacteria; Bacillati; Cyanobacteriota; Cyanophyceae; Synechococcales; Synechococcaceae. The record is from RNAcentral.